Molecule: long non-coding RNA, 2840 nt
Organism: Ictalurus punctatus (channel catfish)
Lineage: Eukaryota; Metazoa; Chordata; Actinopteri; Siluriformes; Ictaluridae
Exons: 3
Source: RefSeq, a predicted model, not a curated record
UAUACUUUUCUUAGGAACCUCUGGGCCCGCGUCUACGUGCCGCAAGCCGAGAGGUUUGGGUUUUGUGUUUUGUGGGUGGAAAAAUCCCUUUAAUAGCUCGAACGUAUAAAUAAACUGGUACAUAUCGAGCUGUCGGACUCGAACAACCAAUCGGUAUCGUGCCCGUAAUGUGGCGCGUGAACAUUGUUUUUAAAACAAACCCGGUUCUGGGUAGUAAAACGAUCCUCCAUCUGGACCUCUGCCCUGCUCGGUCUACAACGAUCUCUCUUCACGGGCCGGAGGGGGCACGGCUUUUGACCUUUGCAUAAACUGCAAACGGUGACUGAACCUGGAUUUUCAUAGGCCCGAGGAGGGACGGCAGCGAAAACAGUGACAACUAACAGGAAGAGGAUGGCAUUUCCUUUUUAGGGCCUCCUUGUGCCACCAAAACAGCUCUGACUCGUCCAGGCGUGGACUCUACAAGACCUCUGAAGGUGCGCGGUCGUAUCUGGAACCGAGACGUUUAAUCUACGAGGUCGGGCCUCCACGGAUCGGACUUGCUCGUCCAGGACGUCCCACAGACGCUCGAUCGGAUUGCGAUCUGGGGAAUUCGGAGGCCGAUUCAACACCUUGACCCGGGACCCAAGGUUUCCCAGCAGAACAUUCCCCAGAGCGUCACACUGCCUCCGCCAGCUUGCCCUCUUCCUAUAGUGCACCCUGGUGCCAUGUCUUCCUCAGGAGCUUUCAGUGAUGGACAGGGGGUCGGCAUGGGCGCUCGGACCGGUCUGCAGCUACAGAGCGCGGAGACGGAGACGCACUGUGUUUCUAUCAGAGCCAGGAUGAGCUUUUUCAGCAGUUGGUGCUACAGUAGCUCUUCUGUGCGAUCAGACCGAACGGUCUAGCCUUCUCUCCCCACGAGCCUUGGGCGCCUAUGACCGCCUACGACGCUGUCGCUGGGUCACCGCUUGUCCUUCCUGGGAGCACUUUCGGAAGGUCCUAACCGCUGCACCCCACAAGACCUGUCGUUUUGGACCGGCUCGGACCCGGUCGUCUCGCCGUCGUUAUUCGGCCCUCAUGAAAGUCGCUCGGAUCUUUACGCGUGCUCAUUUUUCCUGCCUCCGACACGUCAACCUCGAGAACUGACUGCUCACUUGUUGCCUAAUAAAUAUAUAUCCCACCUCAUCGCAGGUAAUAAUCGUAACGAGAUAAUCGGACGUUAUUCACGUCACCUUUCAGUGGUUUUAAUGUUAUGGCUGAUCGGUGUAGCCACCAUUUAAGUAAUUAAAAUCUGAAUGCAAUCUGAAAAUCAAUUUGACAGCCAUAGAUCCACACACACACACACACACACACACACACACACACACACACACACAGAUGACGGAUAAUCCAGUUCAUAAUCUUAUAUUUGUCCACAGAGUAACCGAGAACUUAUAUUGAGUGAUUUUCAUACUUCCAUUUUUCACUUUAUGUCUCUCUCUCUCUCUCUCUGCCCUGGUUCUGGCACUGAGCAGCGGCCCAGUUGAAGUGUGUGUGUUCAUUGCAUAGCUGGUGUGUAUGUGUGUGUGUGUGUGUGUGUGUGUUUGCUCUGCCAGCCCUGGUUUAUGUAACAGACCCUCAUGUGAGCAGCUUUGUGCGAGAGCCUGCUGGAAGUUGGGGGAGCAUCAGGUAGAACGGCUAUGCAAAUAACAAGCUCAUUACGAUUACGCAACAGGAACUGUUUGUGCAAGGGCGCGCACGCAGGCACGAACGCACGCGCGCACACACACACACACACACACAACACAACACCAAACCAAACAUGCAUACACAAACCGUGCGAUGUGGUGAAUUGUACCACAGUCUGUCUCUCAGCCCCCCAACCUCGCCUGCCUGCGCACAACCUCGCUGUGAGGUCAGCGGAUUGACAGGUUGCCAAGGCAACACAAACGGGUGGCGGUGGUGGGGUUGGGUGGGGAGGGGAUUCGGCGACACUGACGCGAGGAGCUGGAAUUAUCUGAGGAGAUGGAAAAGUGCACAUCCGUCUCUCCUCUCCAUCUCUCUCCUCUCCUCCUCCCGUCUCGGUCGAAACGCCGACGUGCGUUAGCGAUCUCGCCGCGAUCGAGCGUUCGCCUGCUCUCCAUUUUACUGACAAUAAAAGCCGACGUAAAACUCUCAAAAACCCCGCGUAGAUGCGGACGCUAGUCGGCACUGCAUCACACGUCCUUCAGGAUCAUCACCGGUCGUAACAACGCACCCGAGCUGCACGUGCUGAAAAGUACCCGGUCUCCCGCUUCCACUCAAUCCGUAGCGGCGUUUCAAAGCGGGGCAAAGACGUCACCGGUGUCGGAUUUGCAUAGCGAGCACGGGCGUCUGAGCGUGCACGUGUCUGUGUGUGUCAUUCAACGACCUAAUGAAUUGCAAACGUUUGUGCGAUUGAGCUAGAAUAACCUGCUAGAAUAGUUGCAGUACAAAGACACUAGUAAGGGUGGGGAGAUGGGACAAAAAUACCAUAUGAGUUUCCUGAAGACGUUUCUGUGAUGCACGAUAUGCAUCACGAUAUACAGGUCGGCUAACAAUUUCCCAGCAGUGUUGCAACGUUAUGUUAUUUCGGGGUUGCCCUCCCCCCCAAAAUGAACCCCUUAUUCAACGUCUAAAUACACAAAUUGAAUAAAAACAACAGAGAAGCAUUAAUAAAGAUACCCACGAUAUUUCGGAAAAGCGUAUCGUUGCAUCAUUUAUCACAAUGCCGAUGUUAUAUCAUCUUCAUCGUAUCGCCCAGCCCUGGAUACCACCGACGGUUACCAGAAAGCUCUUUGCGACAUAUAAAAUUGAAACCCCUGGGAUGUGUUCAGAAAGAAGUGCGGGAGAGGCGCACCUGUAUG